Molecule: ribosomal RNA, 325 nt
Filed under: uncultured bacterium
Lineage: Bacteria
Description: bacterial SSU rRNA
Rfam family: Bacterial small subunit ribosomal RNA
Source: RNAcentral
AGAGUUUGAUCAUGGCUCAGGAUGAACGCUGGCGGCGUGCCUAAUACAUGCAAGUCGAGCGGUAAGGCCCCUUCGGGGGUACACGAGCGGCGGACGGCUGAGUAACGCGUAGGAACGUACCCCAAAGUGAGGGAUAACUGCUCGAAAGAGUAGCUAAUACCGCAUGUGGUCUUCGGAUUAAAGCUUCGGCGCUUUGGGAGCGGCCUGCGUAUGAUUAGAUUGUUGGUGAGGUAAUGGCUCACCAAGUCGACGAUCAUUAGCUGGUCUGAGAGGAUGAUCAGCCAGACUGGGACUGAGAACGGCCCAGACUCCUACGGGAGGCAGC